This 468-nucleotide ribosomal RNA is filed under the name uncultured bacterium. RNAcentral's name for it is "partial 16S ribosomal RNA". It matches the Rfam family "Bacterial small subunit ribosomal RNA", at positions 28 to 507 of the family's 1533-position model. The record is from RNAcentral.
GACGAACGCUGGCGGCGUGCUUAACACAUGCAAGUCGAACGGAAAGGCGCUGCUUUUGUGGGGUGCUCGAGUGGCGAACGGGUGAGUAACACGUGAGUAACCUGCCCUUGACAUUGGGAUAACUUCAGGAAACUGGGGCUAAUACCGGAGAGGAGCUCCUGCUGCAUGGGGGGGGUUGGAAAGUGUCGGCGGUAGGGGAUGGAUUGGCGGCUUAUCAGCUGGUUGGUGGGGUAGUGGCUUACCAAGGGUUUGACGGGUAGCCGGCCUGAGAGGGUGACCGGCGACCAUACUCCUGCGGGACGGAGCAGUAUGCAACGGGCGGCAGCGGUCGGGAAUAUUGCGCAGUGGGCGCAAGCCUGAUGUAGCAACCUUGGGUGCGGGAUGCCGGCCUACAGGUUAUAAACCGCUUUGGACUGAGCUGUAGCGUGAGUGACGGUACUAGGUAAGGAAGCACCGGCUAACUACGUG